This 467-nucleotide ribosomal RNA is filed under the name uncultured bacterium. RNAcentral's name for it is "partial 16S ribosomal RNA". It matches the Rfam family "Bacterial small subunit ribosomal RNA", at positions 28 to 507 of the family's 1533-position model. The record is from RNAcentral.
GAUGAACGCUGACAGAAUGCUUAACACAUGCAAGUCCACUUGAAUUUGGGUUUUUAACUUAGGUUUGGGUGGCGGACGGGUGAGUAACGCGUAAAGAACUUGCCUCACAGCUAGGGACAACAUUUGGAAACGAAUGCUAAUACCUAAUAUUAUGAUAAUAGGGCAUCCUAUAAUUAUGAAAGCUAUAAGCGCUGUGAGAGAGCUUUGCGUCCCAUUAGCUAGUUGGAGAGGUAACGGCUCACCAAGGCGAUGAUGGGUAGCCGGCCUGAGAGGGUGAUCGGCCACAAGGUGACUGAGGCACGGCCCUUACUCCUACGUGAGGCAGCAGUGGGGAAUAGUGGACAAUGGACCGAGAGUCUGAUCCAGCAAUUCUGUGUGCACGAUGAAGUUUUUCGGAAUGUAAAGUGCUUUCAGUUGGGAAGAAACAAAUGACGGUACCAACAGAAGAAGUGACGGCUAAAUACGUG